RNAcentral lists this long non-coding RNA (558 nucleotides) under Homo sapiens (human). RNAcentral's name for it is "non-protein coding LINC01013:7". The record is from RNAcentral. Lineage: Eukaryota; Metazoa; Chordata; Mammalia; Primates; Hominidae.
GGAGCUCUUAUUACUUUUUGAGUGUCAGCAAGUUAAGACAUCAUCUCCAGAAAACUGUGCUAGUUGGCAUCCAGCAGUGCCCAAGUAUUAUUUAACCCACUAGAACCUGUGACUGCAUCAGCUUUAUAUCCUGGACCUCAGCCUGGAACAAAGGAGAGCUACACUUGGAUACUAAACACAAGUGGUCUGGAUAGAUUAUGCUGGGAAAAGAAGCCUGGAGCAGGCAGUACAGUGGGAGAACAAGACAGAAGUGCUUGCCUUGGUGAUCCAAAAAAGGCAGGAUCCGGCCGGGGGCAAGGUGAUUAUUCUGUCUGAUGAGGAGAAUAAGAGCCAGUUUGUGGUAUUGACAGAAGAAUGAAAGUAAAGUUCAACCAAUCUACAAAGGCCAAAAAUAUUUUCACAGGCCCCCAAAAGAUGAACUCCAAUCUGCUGCCCCUAAACGCAUUCUCCACUGUCUGGAAGAUGUGCAAAGGCAACGGCACAGCGUUCUCCAUCUCAAAUCCUUCAAAGUGCUGUCAGAAUAAAAGAAUCCCCACCAAAAGCCCCAGGGAAAUCUAU